Molecule: non-coding RNA, 30 nt
Filed under: Mus musculus (house mouse)
Lineage: Eukaryota; Metazoa; Chordata; Mammalia; Rodentia; Muridae
Source: RNAcentral
CUGAAGUUCAUUCUUUAAGAUGUACUCCAU